AGAUCACCCCUCCUUAGCAGCAUUCAAAAUGUCCAAAUAUUUACUUCCAGGCGACUGUAAAAAUGAUUUCCGAACAGCUGAAUUGAUUGACCACCGCUCAACUACUCGCUCAUUACAACUUUCCUUUUCAGUCUCCCACCUACUGUGCCACUUCCUCCGUAUUGCCUAUACUGAGAUAUAUCCAAAUCGGGCAAUUCCCACUGUCCCUUAUCUUUUUAUACUGUGAACUCGCUUUUCCAGUACAUCAAACAAGUUUUAUCAGAAUUGUGUCUCACUUUAUAUUUUGUACAGCAUUGCAC
This is a non-coding RNA of Pelobates cultripes (western spadefoot toad), 299 nucleotides long. The record is from the annotation of a GenBank genome assembly. Lineage: Eukaryota; Metazoa; Chordata; Amphibia; Anura; Pelobatidae.